RNAcentral lists this ribosomal RNA (253 nucleotides) under uncultured bacterium. RNAcentral's name for it is "partial 16S ribosomal RNA". It matches the Rfam family "Bacterial small subunit ribosomal RNA", at positions 524 to 776 of the family's 1533-position model. The record is from RNAcentral.
GACAUAGGGGGCGAGCGUUGUCCGGAGUUACUGGGCGUAAAGGGCAUGCAGGCGGUCGGACGCGUUUCGGGUGACAGCGGGUGGCUUAACUACCCGAGUGGUCGAAAGACGGUUUGACUUGAGGACGCGAGAGGGACACGGAAUUCCGGGUGGAGUGGUGAAAUGCGUAGAGAUCCGGAGGAACACCGAAGGCGAAGGCAGUGUCCUGGCGCGUAACUGACGCUGAGGUGCGAAAGCCAGGGGAGCGAACGGG